This 427-nucleotide ribosomal RNA is filed under the name bacterium Ellin6072. RNAcentral describes it as "bacterial SSU rRNA". It matches the Rfam family "Bacterial small subunit ribosomal RNA", at positions 28 to 453 of the family's 1533-position model. Lineage: Bacteria; Bacillati; Actinomycetota; Actinomycetes; Kineosporiales; Kineosporiaceae. The record is from RNAcentral.
GACGAACGCUGGCGGCGUGCUUAACACAUGCAAGUCGAACGGUGAUCUGGGUACUUGUACCUGGUGAUCAGUGGCGAACGGGUGAGUAACACGUGAGUAACCUGCCCCCCACUCUGGGAUAACUCCGGGAAACCGGGGCUAAUACCGGAUAUGACGCCAACCCGCAUGGGUAUGGUGUGGAAAGUUUUUCGGUGGGGGAUGGACUCGCGGCCUAUCAGCUUGUUGGUGAGGUAAUGGCUUACCAAGGCGACGACGGGUAGCCGGCCUGAGAGGGCGACCGGCCACACUGGGACUGAGACACGGCCCAGACUCCUACGGGAGGCAGCAGUGGGGAAUAUUGCACAAUGGGCGAAAGCCUGAUGCAGCGACGCCGCGUGAGGGAUUAAGGCCUUCGGGUUGUAAACCUCUUUCAGCAGGGAAGAAGCGC